UACAGAGGUGGCAAGCGUUGUUCGGAAUUACUGGGCGUAAAGGGCGCGUAGGCGGCCUACUAAGUCAGACGUGAAAUCCCCCGGCUUAACCUGGGAACUGCGUCUGAUACUGGAAGGCUUGAGGAUGGGAGAGGGAUGUAGAAUUCCAGGUGUAGCGGUGAAAUGCGUAGAUAUCUGGAGGAAUACCGGUGGCGAAGGCGGCAUCCUGGACCAUUACUGACGCUGAGGAGCGAAAGCAUGGGGAGCGAGCAGG
Molecule: ribosomal RNA, 253 nt
Filed under: uncultured bacterium
Lineage: Bacteria
Description: partial 16S ribosomal RNA
Rfam family: Bacterial small subunit ribosomal RNA
Source: RNAcentral